RNAcentral lists this transfer-messenger RNA (401 nucleotides) under Neptunitalea chrysea. It matches the Rfam family "transfer-messenger RNA". From Rfam's summary of the family: Bacterial tmRNA, also known as 10Sa RNA or SsrA, is named for its dual tRNA and mRNA-like properties. Its role is to liberate the mRNA from a stalled ribosome. Lineage: Bacteria; Pseudomonadati; Bacteroidota; Flavobacteriia; Flavobacteriales; Flavobacteriaceae. The record is from RNAcentral.
GGGGUCGACUGGUUUUGACAGCGGGUCUAAUUGAAUUGUAAGCAUGUCGAGCUAUGGAAGUAAUGCUCGUAAAUCUUUAUUCCAACAAUUUUAAAUGGCGAGAAUAACUACGCUCUUGCUGCUUAAUCCGAAUUUAUAGUAGGAUUUUAAGCCACGUUUCCGCAAGGCGGAAAGGCGAGAUGUCUCUGGAUAGCCCUUGUUGACGGCGAUCUUCAUGGAGACACCAUAAAAGUCAACAUAGAAACCAAGCUUGCUUCGGUGCGGUUUCAAAUCACUCAGAAGCUAAGCGUGUAGUGGGCGGUUUUCGGUCAGUUAUAUGUCGAAAAUUAAACGAAAACUAAACAUGUAGAAAGCACUUUGAUUGCUUGUUUGGACGAGAGUUCGAUUCUCUCCGACUCCAC